RNAcentral lists this ribosomal RNA (58 nucleotides) under Fusarium oxysporum. Its description in RNAcentral is "partial 28S ribosomal RNA". Lineage: Eukaryota; Fungi; Ascomycota; Sordariomycetes; Hypocreales; Nectriaceae. The record is from RNAcentral.
UGACCUCGGAUCAGGUAGGAAUACCCGCUGAACUUAAGCAUAUCAAUAACCGGAGGAA